UACAGAGGGGGCAAGCGUUGUUCGGAAUUACUGGGCGUAAAGGGCGCGUAGGUGGUCUGCUAAGUCAGACGUGAAAUCCCUCAGCUUAACUGGGGAACUGCGUCUGAUACUGGCGGACUUGAGGACAGGAGAGGAACGCGGAAUUCCAGGUGUAGCGGUGAAAUGCGUAGAUAUCUGGAGGAACACCGGUGGCGAAGGCGGCGUUCUGGACUGUUUCUGACACUGAAAAACGAAAGCCAGGGGAGCAAACGGG
RNAcentral lists this ribosomal RNA (253 nucleotides) under uncultured bacterium. RNAcentral describes it as "partial 16S ribosomal RNA". It matches the Rfam family "Bacterial small subunit ribosomal RNA", at positions 524 to 776 of the family's 1533-position model. The record is from RNAcentral.